Molecule: small RNA, 724 nt
Filed under: Pan troglodytes (chimpanzee)
Lineage: Eukaryota; Metazoa; Chordata; Mammalia; Primates; Hominidae
Description: processed transcript
Source: RNAcentral
GCGAAAAGACUGGACUCUCCUGGGGCUUUUCCCUUCGCAGUGAAUAUGGGAAAGAAUUAGGGGGUGGGAGGGAGGCAGCAUGACUUGCAGUCGUCGCUGCCCUGCAUCUGCCCCCAGCCCCGAGCCAACAUCUUGAUGUUCCACGUAUCGGCUUUACAAAUAUGAUGAAAUGGCAGCCCCGGAAGAAGGCAUACUUCCGACAGGGUGUUGCCCUCCAGUACCUUGGACGUCAUGCCGAUGCCCUGGCAGCCUUUGCAUCUGGACUGGCUCAAGACCCCAAGAGUCUCCAGCUUCUGGUGGGGAUGGUGGAAGCCGCCAUGAAAUCUCCCAUGAGAGACUCCCUCGAGCCCACUUAUCAGCAGCUUCAGAAAAUGAAACUGGACAAGAGUCCCUUUGUGGUCGUGUCUGUGGUUGGGCAGGAACUCCUGACAGCUGGCCAUCAUGGGGCCUCUGUGGUUGUCUUAGAAGCCGCACUGAAGAUUGGCACCUGCAGCCUCAAACUGAGAGGUUCUGUUUUCUCUGCCCUGAGCAGUGCUUACUGGUCUCUUGGAAAUACAGAGAAGAGCACCGGAUAUAUGCAGCAGGACUUGGAUGUAGCCAAGACCUUAGGUGACCAGACAGGAGAAUGCCGAGCUCAUGGGAAUCUGGGCUCUGCAUUCUUCUCCAAAGGAAAUUACCGGGAGGCUCUCACUAACCACAGGCAUCAGUUGGUACUCGCCAUGAA